Pangasianodon hypophthalmus (striped catfish) is the source of this 277-nucleotide long non-coding RNA. RefSeq lists it as uncharacterized. Lineage: Eukaryota; Metazoa; Chordata; Actinopteri; Siluriformes; Pangasiidae. The record is from RefSeq and is a predicted model, not a curated record. The transcript is spliced from 3 exons.
CUAUAACUCCUCAGAUCUUCUUCUGAACUCCACUGCCUGGUUUGCUAACAACAUCGGAUUCUUCAUCACUUUCAUUAACCUCGCUGACCUGCAGUCAUUCCUACCAGGAAACAUGACGAGUGUGUUCCUGCAGAACGCAGAAAAUCUUCAGCUGUUCAACAACCCAGGAAUUUCAGCCAGUGUCCUGGAGUACUACACAACAGAGUUAUACAUCCAGAAUCCUGACUUCAGCCCACUCGGAUUGCCAGCUGAGCUGCUGUGUCGAACUCCUUCCUCC